Molecule: ribosomal RNA, 520 nt
Filed under: uncultured bacterium
Lineage: Bacteria
Description: bacterial SSU rRNA
Rfam family: Bacterial small subunit ribosomal RNA
Source: RNAcentral
CAGGACGAACGCUGGCGGCGUGCCUAAUACAUGCAAGUCGAACGGUCUUUCUAUGGAAGCUUGCUCCACUGAGAAGAUAGUGGCGAACGGGUGAGUAACACGUGGGUAACCUGCCCAUAAGAGGGGGGAUAACAUCCGGAAACGGGUGCUAAUACCGCAUAGUUUUCUUGAUCGCAUGAUCGGGAAAGGAAAGACGGCCUUUGUGCUGUCGCUUAUGGAUGGACCCGCGGCGUAUUAGUUAGUUGGUGAGGUAACGGCUCACCAAGACGAUGAUACGUAGCCGACCUGAGAGGGUGAUCGGCCACAUUGGGACUGAGACACGGCCCAAACUCCUACGGGAGGCAGCAGUAGGGAAUCUUCCGCAAUGGACGAAAGUCUGACGGAGCAACGCCGCGUGAGUGAAGAAAGGUUUUCGGAUCGUAAAACUCUGUUGUCAGAGAAGAACAAGUUGGAGAGUAACUGCUCCAGCCUUGACGGUAUCUGACCAGAAAGCCACGGCUAACUACGUGCCAGCCGCCGC